RNAcentral lists this ribosomal RNA (439 nucleotides) under uncultured bacterium. Its description in RNAcentral is "partial 16S ribosomal RNA". It matches the Rfam family "Bacterial small subunit ribosomal RNA", at positions 338 to 794 of the family's 1533-position model. The record is from RNAcentral.
CCUACGGGAGACAGCAGUGGGGGAUAUUGCACAAUGGGGGAAACCCUGAUGCAGCGACGCCGCGUGGGUGAAGAAGCGCCUCGGCGCGUAAAGCCCUGUCAGCAGGGAAGAAAAUGACGGUACCUGAAGAAGAAGCCCCGGCUAACUACGUGCCAGCAGCCGCGGUAAUACGUAGGGGGCAAGCGUUAUCCGGAUUUACUGGGUGUAAAGGGGGCGCAGACGGCGAUGCAAGCCAGGAGUGAAAGCCCGGGGCCCAACCCCGGAACUGCUCUUGGAACUGCGUGGCUAGAGUGCAGGAGGGGCAGGCGGAAUUCCUGGUGUAGCGGUGAAAUGCGUAGAUAUCAGGAGGAACACCGGUGGCGAAGGCGGCCUGCUGGACUGCAACUGACGUUGAGGCCCGAAAGCGUGGGGAGCAAACAGGAUUAGAUACCCCAGUAGU